This 102-nucleotide transfer RNA is filed under the name Chloroflexota bacterium. RNAcentral describes it as "Chloroflexi bacterium tRNA-Asp". The stretch from base 42 to 99 matches the Rfam family "tRNA". From Rfam's summary of the family: Transfer RNA (tRNA) molecules are approximately 80 nucleotides in length. Lineage: Bacteria; Bacillati; Chloroflexota. The record is from RNAcentral. RNAcentral also lists the same sequence under 1 other name.
GGCCCCGGAAGCCAAUUAUUUUCAUCACCCCACCGUUUGGGGGGUCAAUGGCGGCGGCCUGUCAAGCCGUAAACACGGAUUCGAAUUCCGUUGGGGCCGCCA